GGAGAGAAGAGGUUGUAGGGGUCAACCCAGAGUGGCCUGAGGAGAUCGGAGGAGGAUCAGUGAAGGGGAAACCAUUUUUCAGGUCAGGAGAACAAGAGUGGGAUAAGACCGCUGCGCCCCGAGCACUAUGAUGUAUUCAUCGUGAAGCAGACGCUGCCGUCUCUACCCUUGUCUCAUGCCUCAGGUCUAUCAGACAACAUUUUGGGGCCACAGGAAAGCUGCUCACAUUUUGAUCUUGUGAGUUUCUCUGGCUACAAUCCUGCUCUAACCAUUCACCACCUAGGUGCCAUUGUACCUCUCCAUGGAAGGAUUGAUUAUUUUGAUGAAUGGACACGAGAAAAAGAAGAAGAGAGAGGCAACAUGCUGUACAAAGGCAACUGAUUGUAAUUCAUUCACGUCAUUGGAACACUUCACCUUAAGAUCAGAACUCCUCAAAACUUCAAAUAAAUUCACUGAAGGACAUGAAAGCAUGAGAGUGAAUAUCCAUGAAACAAUGACCAAACAACCUCUUUCCAAUAAUAAAAGGUUGAUGUAGAAAAGCUGGAAUUACAGCAGAGUUAAAAAUUUACCCUUGCCUUCAGUAUGACAGCAUAUGCUUUGACAAUCUGAAGUAAAGAUCAUUUGGAGAUGAAGCCCUCAAACCUGGGUCAGAACACACAGUCCACUGAAGUACCAUCAUUCCUAACUUCCUGUAUGCUCCUGGGGCUUGACUUGUUUUUACGGUAGGUACCUUGUAGCACUAAGGACAUGUCGUUGUUGCAUUGCUGUCUCAACAAAAGCAUAAGUCUACCAACAGAACAAUUAAACAUCAGCACCUUCUUCUAGAACAAUUCUCCAGCAUUACAAUAUAGAGUCAUAAAGUCUCAGAAACAGGCCCAUCAGCCCAUCUAGUCCAUGCCAAACUAUUAUUCUGCCUAGUUCCAUUGACCUGUACCCAGACCAUAGCCCUCCAUACCCCUCGCAUCGACAUAACUGCUAGGGUGUUUUUAGGGUUAGGACAUAUAGCAAACAUCUUCAGCAACUACCUUCAGCCAUCAAUCUUCAAAUCUGAAUAUGGACUGUAGAUUAAAUUUAAAAUGGAGCUCUAAACAAUGGGUUCCUAAGAGACGUGAAUUACAGUUAAUUGGAAGACCAGACAAUGUUGAUUAAAAUUCACUUGGGUGUCUAUGGUAUGGGUACAAAGUAGGAGGUGUGAAGUUUGUGUGCAGUUCAAAAGAAGCAUUGUGGAUGCAUUAUAAAUAUGGAAUUG
Molecule: long non-coding RNA, 1249 nt
Organism: Mobula hypostoma (lesser devil ray)
Lineage: Eukaryota; Metazoa; Chordata; Chondrichthyes; Myliobatiformes; Myliobatidae
Exons: 3
Source: RefSeq, a predicted model, not a curated record